GAUCUGAAGGCGGCGUGCCCGUGCCGCGUGAUCGUGUUGUGAAUAAAGAGCCAUCAAGUGCUUCCAAUCAUACCCGAGUUUCUGGAACUUCUUAUGAGGAUAAAGCUUUAAACAAGUCAAAUCAUUCUUCGAAUGGUGUUGCUUCUGCGCCCAAGGUUUCAGGGGGAAGUCCCCGUGAGAAUUUGAGUUCUCCCGUGAAAGGAGAGGGAGUUGUGCAUAGUAAUUACACGGCUUCCCUGGUGAAGAAAAAGAAGAAUGGGAACAAGGAAAUGGAUUCUGGGGUGGAGGAUGAAAAGAUUGAGGCUUUGAUCAAGUGUGAUUUUUUUGAUGGGGAAUGGAUUAAAGAUGAUUCUUAUCCUCUCUAUGCACCGGGGUCUUGCAAUCUGAUCGAUGAACAGUUUAGUUGUAUCCAAAAUGGAAGACCUGAUAAAGACUAUCAGAAAUAUAAAUGGAAGCCAAAGGGAUG
This 466-nucleotide small RNA is filed under the name Vigna angularis var. angularis. Its description in RNAcentral is "Non-protein coding transcript". Lineage: Eukaryota; Viridiplantae; Streptophyta; Magnoliopsida; Fabales; Fabaceae. The record is from RNAcentral.